RNAcentral lists this ribosomal RNA (446 nucleotides) under uncultured bacterium. RNAcentral describes it as "partial 16S ribosomal RNA". It matches the Rfam family "Bacterial small subunit ribosomal RNA", at positions 331 to 793 of the family's 1533-position model. The record is from RNAcentral.
CCAGACUCCUACGGGAGGCAGCAGUGGGGGAUAUUGCACAAUGGGGGGAACCCUGAUGCAGCGACGCCGCGUGGGUGAAGAAGCGCCUCGGCGCGUAAAGCCCUGUCAGCAGGGAAGAAAAUGACGGUACCUGAAGAAGAAGCCCCGGCUGACUACGUGCCAGCAGCCGCGGUAAUACGUAGGGGGCAAGCGUUAUCCGGAUUUACUGGGUGUAAAGGGAGCGCAGGCGGCCUUGCAAGUCUGAUGUGAAAGGCCGGGGCCCAACCCCGGGACUGCAUUGGAAACUGCGAGGCUGGAGUGUCGGAGAGGCAGGCGGAAUUCCGUGUGUAGCGGUGAAAUGCGUAGAUAUACGGAGGAACACCAGUGGCGAAGGCGGCCUGCUGGACAUUAACUGACGCUGAGGCGCGAAAGCGUGGGGAGCAAACAGGAUUAGAUACCCCCGUACG